UGCCCACCUCGGCCUCCCAAAGUGCUGGGAUUACAGGCGUGAGCCACCACACCAGGCCACAUGGCUAAUUUUGGGGGGGUGGGGGUUUGGUAGAGACAGGUUUUCACCAUGUUGCCCAGGCUGAUCUUGAACUCCUGGGCUCAGGCGAUCUGCCUACCCAAAAUAAUAGGAUUAUAGGCAUGGGCCACAGUGCCCAGCCUGAAGAAAAGGGCCUUUGAAUUUGACAAUUGAGUGGCUUUCAGUGUAUCCACUUUGGUAGCUUGGGGGAGUGGGAACCAAUGAAUGGACAGCAAAGAAGUACCUUUAGUGAGAAUAGUUUAUGGAGUAAUCUUAGAAAUGUGGAAAAAGUUUAACAGACCACAGCAUAAAAAGGAGGCCUGAGGAAAGGUUUGUUUUGUCUUGCUUUUUAGAAUGGAACACCUAAGCAUAUUUGUAGACAAAAUGGAAAGAUUAAGGGAAUAAACUGAAGAUUCAUACUCCUGGAAAAGGCCAGAGACAAUGACAUUAAGAACACAUGCAGAUGGCCAGGCACGGUGGCUCACACUGUAAUCCCAGCAUUUUGGGAGGCUGAGG
Molecule: long non-coding RNA, 573 nt
Filed under: Homo sapiens (human)
Lineage: Eukaryota; Metazoa; Chordata; Mammalia; Primates; Hominidae
Description: HSALNT0189894
Source: RNAcentral